CUGUGAGUGCGUGCGUGCAUUCCUCGAUUUAAAAGGUUAUUUUGAAUAAAGGCGCAUGCAGACGAAUGUUGAGAAAUGUCUGUUUCAUCGCGAUGACAUGUUUGAGCGAAAAGCGGUCGGAUAUGUUGAGGUGGUUCAAAGCAACGGUCACAGCGUGUCUUUGUCAUUCGGGGCGGUGAGUGAAUGUGGGAGGGAGGAAAGGUUGCCACCUCUUCCCUCGGAGAGUCCAGAGGGGCAGAGUCGCACCGCAUAGCACCGGCGCUGGAGUGAGGGACUGUCGCUGGCUCCGGAGGGCCGGAGGCUACUCCUCCGGCCGCAGCCCCAGCCGCUCUCCCUGCCUCGCAAGAACACGAAAACCCUCCCCCACCGAUGCUGGAGACACUCGCCUUUAUAUCUGCAGCAUCAGCGAGAAAGCCCGGCUCGGCGCAGGCUCAGUGUUGACCGCCGCAGUCCCGGACGGAGGAGGGGGGCUCGGGAGCUCAGCAUCUUCGCAACGGGUUAAGUAGGAUUAAUACCAAAUCCCUAUUAUAUUUGCCAAGCACCUUGAAUUUAUCAAAAUUCCCCCUCGCUGUUCUGGAGCUCCGGAGGGAGGAAAUUCUGCCCACAGUGUACGAUCCAGACAUAUCAUGUCUUUACAUGCAAUCUCUUUCUGAAUGUGCAAUGUCUUUCCUCCUCGGGAGUGCCGCGUCCUUCACAGUGGAUUGGUUCCUCUUUCGGAGCAGAGGGCAGGCGGCCGGCGUGGGAAAUGGGCUCGACGUGAGCUGCAUGGUGGAUGGCAGCGCUGCCCCUGGUCCACGUGCCCUGGCUGCCGGGAGGGGGGCUGUGCCGCUCGGCACCGCGGGCUCUCGGUCCAGCGGGCACAUAGCUGCUCGGCUGCCGGUAGGACCGAGUCCAGCGCUUUCUCAGACGGGGGAGGCUUGUCCCUCUCGGUCAGAUCUGUCGCGCGGUGCAAUUCCCCCCUCCCCCGACUCCCUCCCUCUCUCACACACAGACGCCCACACGCGCUCAGAUAGGACACGGCAUUUGUCCUCCUCAUCUGGUGAGAUCAAUUGGGAAGCAGGGUCACAAAUAUAAUCGGCUGUAAUAAAUAAAAUAGCCCGAGAUGCUGGAGAUACACAAGAGGGGAAAUAAGACUUUGUGUCCUUAAAGGGAACAUCUGAUAAGGCCACCGAGGUGGCAUCUUGCGUGUGAGAAGGAAUCCGUCUUCCUGACAUUCGCAGCCUGCUGUAUGUGGGAAAACCCUAAAGCAGCCUGGGAGCUUCCCCAGCUCCCCUGCACCCACCGUCCCUGCCCCCACAUCCCCACCCCCCUGGAGCUCGCUUUCCGAUGCUGUGCGGCGGGGCUUUGUUGUCGUUGUAGUUGUUGAUUGGAAAGACAGAGGUCAUCGCUAAAAUAUGCAGAUGCAAUUAAUGGCUUAGUUUAUCUGCAUUUCUUGGCGAAGCCGCUGGCGGCCGAACUCGCGUCCGCAAUUGACGCUUUCAGCCCACGACGAUUUGGUUUUUUCUCAGUUUAGGAAUGUCGGUGGCUUUGGCUGGAAAUUAGUUUCCGAGAUCUGCGGUAGGAAUCCAUCUCUGGUUUCAGAGAGACAGACUACUUAAAUAUCCCUACCACUCUAGACAUUAACAAAUACAUAUUGCCUAUUCCUGUGUAUGCGAACAGAAGUGAAGAAGCUCCCAAAGGGAAAAAAAAAAAAAAGCCAAAAAACCCCAGGUGGGCUUGAAAGUAACAUAUUGAUAAUAAUACGAGAAAAAGGUUAAAUACAGUAAACAUGACAGCAAAUUCGAAAGCAGAGGAAAAAACAAGGACAAAACCCUGCGUAAAGCAGUUAAAGCCAUUUGACGGGAGAAACUAACUCAAGAACUCCACCAAGGGACAAACAGCUGAAAUGACACCACAACAGCACUAAACCCGCGUUGACCUUUCAUCUUUCUGAAGUGUCGUGCUGAUCUGGUGCAAUCCCGUUGUGAUCUCUUCACCUCUGUUCCCUACGCAGCCUCCCGCUGGCCGCUUCAGAGCUCCCUUUCUUCGCUGCAGUGAAUAUACUGGGAAGUCGGCUGAAUUAUAGGGAGUGCUGACACUUGGCUGGUGUCUUUCACAGCUUUGCAAAUAUGCUUGCUAUGUAGUAGCAUGUAAUAGGCAGGAGUGAUUAAAUUAUUCAUUGCAGCGACAGCCUUUCUGAAGGACGUUAAACAUUAAGAGUUUAAAAAAGGAAACCACAGAUUCACUUUUAAGCAGAUAACAACUGCAUCUGUGCUUAUUUAAUGGAAUGUUAGCUAAGGGUGGAACCAGUCACUUUGUUUAAAUCCUCUUUCUUUUGCUCUCCGUGAGAAUUUUGAACUAGAUAAUGCACCAUAAAAGUUACUGAUGGAGCAAAAAUAAUCUGUCUUGGAUAACAGUGGUGAAAUCUCACAAUUAUGAUUGCUCCAUCUUAAGCUAGUAUUUGAGGUCUGUUCAAAAUAAAAGGUUCUUGCAUAGGCAUGAUUCCAUCAGCAUUUGAGUUCUCGCAUUUGUAAAGAAUGAUGAAAAAUAAUGUUUUGUAAAAGCGAUAGUGAUUUUGUUUACUAGGAUUGUUGUAUCGUGCUUAUAUUCCUUACAAAUCACAAUGAUUAAGUUUGAAGUUUUCUUUUUAAAUUUUUCUAAAAAUUACAUUAUUCUGUAGAAUCUGUUAUGAAAGGUCUUUUACAGGCAGAAUGAGGGUUUUUUUUCCCAGAUAUUUACAAAAAAAUAUUCAAAAUCAUACGCAUUAUGCUUGAAAUUUGAAUGAAAAAUUAAUAAAAGGUCAUUAAAAGGUAUAUGAAUUUUCAUGAGGGUAGGCAGAUUUUGGUUAGAUUUAUGCUUAAUAUGCAACUUCUGGCUUUCCUGGAUUUGUAAGGAUAUAAAUGAAUGCUGUACCCAGCCCCAUUAUUUUAUAAAUUUAUUUUUAUUUAAACUAUUGUUCAGUUUCUCUAUAUGCAAAGUAAACUAUAGGGAAAAAAACCCAAACAUUUGAAGUGAGCUUGGAUAAAUACUUAUCAAAAAUAGAGGGAAAUUAUGAAUUAGUAGUAUAUAUUCCACAUAAAGAGAUACAAUGAGACAUUCAGAGGAGAUAAUUAAAGCUGGAUUUAAUUUAAAUGAAAUGUAUGAGAAUUAGGUAGCACUGGCAAAGAAAGAAAAAUGUGUUCAUUGUCACUGAAAAUAUUAAAUAGGUACAGUUAAUAUGCAUAUGGAUUCACUAAUAGGGAGCAUCAGUUACUUUUGGAAAUAAUGUAGGAUUUUCUGCUAUAAUAUUUCCCGGGUUUAUAUCAACAGUGAGCCCACUGAAGGUCUCAAAGUGCUGUUGUAAAUUAUCCCUACAAGAUAAAAGGAAGUGCAGUGACCUACUCAGUCACCCAGCAAACCACUGACAAAUGGGUCUUUCCAGAUUAAGUUCAUCAGACCACGGUGUGCACUGCUGUCAGGUUGGAGGGGUGUGUCAUAUAUUCUGAAUUCACCUAAAUAUUUGUCUUUAAGUAAACAGCAAUCAUUUCUGCUUUAUUUGAUGGGCUGCUGUAAUCAAAGAAGCUCAUUAUGAAGAGUUUAAAACAAGUCUGUGUUUCAGAGAACUUCAGAUACAAAGGAAAGUCUUGUGUCAUGAAAUUUGAUGGAUAACAGUAAAAUAUACUGAACUGUUACAGAUAUAUUAAAAUACAGUUAUUCUCAGCUGCAGAACUGAGUAACCAGAUUUUUCUAAAACCAUUUUUCCUUUACGCACCCUUGAAGGUUUCUCAACCUAACAUUAAUUUUCAGUUCUAUGCUCUACAUUUCAUUUUGUGUUUUGGGUUUUUUUUGGUGCAGGGGGGUAUUUUUCCUUCUUCUUUUUCUCCUUUUUCUUCUUUUUCUUCUUCUUCUCUUUCUUCUUUUUUCCCUUUUUUUUUAAAUACUGUAAAUAUCCUUGCUGUGAGUUAAUUUUUUCUUUCAUUUUUAAAUGAGAAUCAUCAGAUUAUAAAAUCUUUUGUCUGAAAUUCCUAGUGUAUACCAGUGUAGAUUUAAUUUAUUAUUAAUAUAAUUCAGGGUAGCAUAAAAGAUCUGGCAUGUCUUCAUGUGUCUACUUUGUCAGCUGCCUGUUGAGGAGAAGAGAAAAUAUCCAAGCAAGAUGGCAACUCUGCAGCGUUCAGAGGAAGAACCUUUGAUAUUAAAACUCAGAUGCUGUUACGGAUAAUUGAAUUCUGUCAUGCUGUAUUCCUUUCUAAAAGUUAACACCAAUAUGCAUUAUUUGCUAUACCUAAAACUUAUUUUUUAAGUCUACACAUAUGCUCACUCACAUAUUUGGGAGCUUUAAUGUUUUUGUCUAUUUCACAAAAAAAAAAAUUCCAGCUCUCCAGCUGAAAUAAAGGUCAUAUAAAUAUAUGUUGUUGGUUUGUUUUUUUUUUAAAUUAGGGAAAUAAAUACUGUGGUAAGUAAAGCAAUUUAGAAUAGGCCCAAGCAAUUGAUUGUUUUUUGACAAUUUAUUUAGAAUCACAGACUCAUAGAAUAGUUUAUGUUGGAAGGGACUUUAAAGAUGAUCUAAUUCCUAAUCAUCUUUAAGGUCCUUAUUCUUCAGUGACUGAAACUACUUUAUUAGGUAUUUUGUAAUAUUAGUCUUGCAAUUUCUUUUCCUAUGAAAAGUGCAACAUUAGAACCCUUAAAGGUCAUAUUGUUAUAACCCUUAUUUAGCUGUGCAGUGCAGAAACAUACCAAUUUUUCCUUAACCCUUUGUUUGACCCAAACAGAGGAAUGACUAUUAAUUUUUUUAAAAAAGUAAGGGCUACCAUCUACUGUUAAUGGUGAGCAAGAGAAAGCAAGUGUGAAGAAGUGGAGUCCCUUGCAUCUUUCCCUGAACUAGAUUAAAGCAUAAACAUAUAUCCAUGCCUGUACUGCAUCGGCCUAGUGAAGAGCUUUGGCAUUUAGUCAAAAAAAGAAUUAGAGGCUAGAGAAGCAGUUGCUUAUAUCACCCUAAAACAGGAUCCUGUAAGCACCAUUAGGAAAAAAAAUGAAGCCAAGUCCGUCUGGUAGCCGCAUAUAUUUUAGGCUGUUAAGCACUGAUGUAUAUGUUGGUACAACCCUGAUUAGCUUUGCUUCUGAAAUGUUUUGCACUUCUACCUUAAUUCCCCAAAAUAAGAGUGAAGGGGUUGUAGUCACCCUUCCUAUGGGGAAGAUCACAUAGUCUAUUUUUGAAAUAAUUUGUUCUCCUGCGGUCUCCUUUGCACUUUUUGCUAUGCACAGGCAGCCAAACCUUUAUGCCUGCUUUAACUGUUUUUCAAAGUUUCUUGGUGAUCAUCCUUCGCAUAAUUGCACUUUUAGCUUCCUUUAUAAGACUAAUAAGCACUGCACAGAGUGUGUUUUUAUGACCCACAAUACAUCUAGAGGAAGAGAGGUACUGAUAAGUUUCCACAUUUUUCAUCUUCUGAUAGAAGCCUGACAUAUCUUCCAGUUCAUUCAUUCUGUGAGAUGAUUAAAAAGUUGUUCUUCAACAAACUUAAACCCCAUCCAGGGCUCAGCAGGAAACAACUGCAAUCUAAGCACAUUAAAGAACACACAGGGCAAACCAAAGUAUACCUCUUUCUUUGCCUUUUAAGAUCAUGCGUAAAAGAGAAAAGCAAUCUAAUAUUGUGCUAAAACUAGAAGCCUGCGGCACCUGGUUGAUGGGUAAGGAUAUAGAACCUAAUCCAAAGCAUACAGAAGUCAACAGAAGGACUUUGGAUAAAUGAGCUUUGUAUUAGGGAGCUAGUGAGUGAAUGAUGUUUAAAGCAUUCAUGUAGAUCUUAAGCACAUGAGUGAAGAAGAAAAUUAUGUGCAUUUUAAUCAAAAUAAAUGCCAUGAAACCACUUGGUGGUGUAAAUGCUAUUUUGCCUGACCACAGAGAUUAUGCUUAUGACUCAAAGUAAACUGACAGUGGAUCCUUGGGUACUGAGUCCCAUCCUCCAGUACUGCAGUCACUCAUGUUGCAUAAAACCCCAUAUUUUAAAUAUAUGUAUAUAAUUUUUAUGUUGAUAUUGAUCUUGAAGUUCAAUAUAUCACUGCAAACAUCCACAGAACCUUCUUAUCCAUUCAUGUGUUUGCAGAGAAUAUUUAUCUCAUCUUAAUCAUGUUCGUAAAGCAAUACAAGAUUUUUUUAUUUGCUCUCAUGAAUUAAAUUCUGUGUUCCUGACAUAAUGCUGACAGACUUCCCCUUCACUUCUACUCCAUUUUUAGUGAAUCUUUCAGUGAAUCUUUCUUUAAUAUGUAAAACAGGAAUUGUUCAUUAUUUCCAUCAUGAAGAUGUACUCUACCUGAUGUAAUACAAUUAAACAUCCCUUUGUUUCCCAGAAAUAUCUUGUCUAAUACUCCAUAACAGCAUUUAUCAUAGCUACAUAGUGUUUUAGUGGCUGACAGUCCUUCUGUAGUAGAUUGGCUGGAUCUUUCUUUUUCUCUCUCUUUUCUAGGUAAUAAACUCUCAGUUUAUAGCAGAAAAGUUUGUUAGAUGGCUAUAUGUAUUAUUUAAUUUAAUCCCGCUUCAAUUAUAGAAAUCAAGGUCAUCUGAUUACGCCUGUGUGUUUUUAUGAUUUCAGUGAUUCUCAGACUUGUUUCAUCAGCUAAUUUCAACAGCAUGUUCCAAGUUUUUGUGAUUCAUUAUUUAACUUAAGUAUCAAAAAGGUUUAUUGCAAGACUGCCCAUGAAGAACCCCUUAACAGCUGCUGCAUAAUGAUGCAAACACUUAACACAAUCUGUUGCCCUCUCCUGUUUAGUCAAUUUUGUAUCUUCUCAAUCUUAAGUAAUACUUUCCUAUUAGAUAGUGUCAAAAAUUGUUUUGAAAUCCAUAUACAUGAGAUCUUCUCCACUUGCUUUGUUUAGAAAAUAAAUUAUUAAAGAAAGCAAUCAGGUAAAUGUUAUCAUCUACUCUUUGAAAGUUGAUUAAGUGUGUUCUGUACUUCUAUGUUGUUACUCAUUCUUUGCUUCAAAUUUACUCUGAAGCUUUGCAUUCUAAAGCCACCUAAAAAUCUCCAUAUUUCCUCCUUUCAGAUUCCCUUUCCAAAUGCAGGCAGGUCACUUGCAAUUUUCUAUAGUUGCUCAUCCUGAUAUACUCACUAAGAAUCUUUGUUCUACAUCCUUCAGGUGUAUGUGUUAAUUCCCUCAGGAUUCUGGAAUGAAGGUCAUCAAGACUUUUUUAUUUGAGUAUUUUGUAGUCUUUUUUCCUUUCAGAUGUGAUUGUUCUUUCCCGCACUGUUACUCUCAUUUAUCUUUUUCCCCGUUUCAUUAGAAUCAUAGAGUGGCUUGAAUGGGAAGGGACCUUAAAGAUCACCUAGAUCCACCCUCAGUCAUGGGCAGUGACACCUUCCACUAGACCAGAUUGCUCAAAGCCUCAUCCAAACUGUCCUUGAACAUCUCCAAGGAUGGGGCAAUCCACUUUUCUCAGCAACCUGUUCCUGUGCCUGACCACCCUCACAGUAAAAAAUUUCUUCCUAAUAUCUAAUCUAAAUCUCCCCUUUCAGCUUAAAACCUUUACCCCUCAUCCUAACUACACUCCCUGAUAAACAGUCCAUCCCUAUUUUUUCUGUAGGCCCCCCUUUAAGUACUGUAAGGCCGCUAAAAGGUCUCCCAGAUGUGUGUCAUGAGAUAUCAUAGACUUGUACACCUUCAGGUUCCUUAGGUGGUCUCACACCUGAUCUUCUCCUACAGUGGGCAGGCAGUUUUACAUCUCCCAGUCCCUGCCUUUGUCUUCUGCACCUUGGGACAUGAGGCUUGAGUUCUCACCAGGGAAAUCUGAGGCAAAAAUGUCAUUUAGUCCUGCAGCCUUCUGGGUAACCAGGUCUCUUGUUUCCUUAAGGAGAGGGACCACGUUCUCCCUAGUCUUCCUUUUAUCACUGACAUACCUGUAGAAGCUUUUCUUUUUGUCCUUGACAUCCUUGGUUGAAUCUAAUUCUAUCAGCUUUGGCUUUCCUAACCUGGUCGUUGGCUGCUCAGACAACUUCUCUGUUUUCCUCCCAGGCUACCUGCCCUUGCUUCCACCCUCUAUAGGCUUCUUCUUUGACUUUGUUUGUCCAGGAGUUCCUCAUUUAUCCUUGCAGGCCUCCUGGUGUUAUUGCCGGAUUUCCUUUUUGUUGUGAUGCAUUGGCCCUGAGCUUGGAGGCAGCUUUUCUGCCCCCUCCUGCCCUCCAGGGCUUUAACCCAUGGUAGUCUACUGAACAGAUCCCUGAAUAGGCCAAAAUCUGCUCCACUGAAGUCCAGGACAGUGAGCUUGCUGCACACCCUCCUCACUACCCUAAGGAUUUUGAAUUCCAACAUUUCAUGGUCAUUGCAGCCAAGGCUUCCCUUGAGCUUCACAUUUCCCACCAAUACUUCCUUGCUGGCAAGAAAAAGGUCCAGCAUAGCAUUUCUCGUCAUUGCCUCUUCUAUCACUUAGAGAAGGAAGUUGUCAUCAGUGCACUCAGGAACCUCCUGGACUGCUUAUGUCCUGCUGUGUAUCACAAACCUUGUUGAAAGCUGAAACAGUGUAGAAUUUAUUUGGCUAUCUCUAGUUAAAUAUAAAUUUACUUUUUUUUUUUUUUUUGCUUAUUUAUAGCAUGUUUGUGAAGAUCUCAUUCUCUGAAUAAGAUCUGAAUCUUUAUAGUUGACAUUUCAUUCAAGUCUGAAAGGUGAUACUAUUUACAUGUUUUGCUGUUUUGCCAUUGCAUGUCUGUGUGUCUGUCUUGUCUAUGUAUUGCCUACGUAUUGUCUGUAUUAUUCAUCUGCAAGUUCAUUAUUUUGCACAUCUGAAUGCUUUAUAUUAAAAGAAUUAAAAGAAUGUCAAAGGUCACUCCAAAUGCAGAGAGGUGUUUCCAGUUACCAGAUUUUACCAGGCUAUAAAUACAGAAAGAAUAUAUAUAUUUUAAGUACUUGAUGGACAAGCAAAAUCUAGAUAUGUCCUUCCAUGGAGAUUCUUCUAUCAAGUACCUUAGAGGAGUUUAGAGAGAUAGAUUAUAGAGAGAAAAUUAGGGACAGAAUAGUGGAAGAGUGAAGAUAGUGAAGUGUUUUUUCCCUUUUAUGAACAAAUACAAUUAAAAUUUUAUGAGGGAGAAAUGAAGAAAAGCAAAAUUCAGAAAGCUGAGGGAGUUGCUGUUUUCAUUUUAAACCUAUACAUCGACACAGCUGGAUGAAUCUACUUUUUAACUAAGUUACUUAUCUUUUAUUUAUUGACUUUUGUUUUUCUUUUAAAAUAUUUUGACUUCUUUUACUAAACUUUUUUUU
Long non-coding RNA from Cuculus canorus (common cuckoo), 9201 nucleotides. RefSeq lists it as uncharacterized. NCBI's taxonomy places the organism in Eukaryota, Metazoa, Chordata, Aves, Cuculiformes, Cuculidae. The record is from RefSeq and is a predicted model, not a curated record. The transcript is spliced from 3 exons.